Molecule: ribosomal RNA, 395 nt
Filed under: uncultured bacterium
Lineage: Bacteria
Description: bacterial SSU rRNA
Rfam family: Bacterial small subunit ribosomal RNA
Source: RNAcentral
UUGAACGCUGGCGGCAGGCCUAACACAUGCAAGUUCGAACGGUAACAGGAAGCAGCUUGCUGCUUCGCUGACGAGUGGCGGACGGGUGAGUAAUGUCUGGGAAGCUGCCUGAUGGAGGGGGAUAACUACUGGAAACGGUAGCUAAUACCGCAUAAUGUCGCAAGACCAAAGAGGGGGACCUUCGGGCCUCUUGCCAUCGGAUGUGCCCAGAUGGGAUUAGCUUGUUGGUGGGGUAACGGCUCACCAAGGCGGCGAUCCCUAGCUGGUCUGAGAGGAUGACCAGCCACACUGGAACUGAGACACGGUCCAGACUCCUACGGGAGGCAGCAGUGGGGAAUAUUGCACAAUGGGCGCAAGCCUGAUGCAGCCAUGCCGCGUGUAUGAAGAAGGCCUUC